RNAcentral lists this ribosomal RNA (292 nucleotides) under uncultured eukaryote. RNAcentral's name for it is "partial 18S ribosomal RNA". It matches the Rfam family "Eukaryotic small subunit ribosomal RNA", at positions 6 to 252 of the family's 1831-position model. The record is from RNAcentral.
GGUUGAUCCUGCCAGUAGUCAUAUGCUUGUCUCAAAGAUUAAGCCAUGCAUGUCUAAGUAUAAGCUUGUUUAUACGGCGAGACUGCGGAUGGCUCAUUAAAUCAGUUAUAGUUUAUUUGAUGGUCUCUUUUUUCUAUAUUUUACCUACUUGGAUAACCGUGGUAAUUCUAGAGCUAAUACAUGCGCAAGGUCCCGAGCGCGAGGGGCGAGGUCUCACAAGGAUCUCGUCCCUGCAUGCGCAGAGGGAUGUAUUUAUUAGGUUAAAAACCAGCAGCGUCAGCAAUGGCGUUUC